UCACCCGCCUCCUCUAUUCCUCCUUCCAGUGCCCGGCUUUAGUCCUCUCCCGCUCGCCGCUGAGUGAGGUUUUUUCUUCCGGACCGAGUUGCCUAGUUGUCGCCGCAGAGCUUUUGCUUGCUGCUGCCGCUGUCGCAACCACCACUGGGCUGCUUUGCCGCGACCCCGUCCCGCCGCCACUCCCCCAGCCUCACACAAGAUGUCAGAGGAUCUAGCAAAGCAACUGGCAAGCUACAAAGCUCAACUCCAGCAAGUUGAAGCUGCACUCUCUGGAAAUGGAGAAAACGAAGAUUUGCUAAAAUUAAAGAAAGAUUUGCAAGAAGUUAUAGAACUAACCAAAGACCUUCUGUCAACUCAACCUUCUGAAACGUUGGCAAGUUCAGACAAUUUUGCUUCUACUCAGCCCACUCAUUCAUGGAAAGUAGGAGACAAGUGUAUGGCAAUCUGGAGUGAAGAUGGACAGUGUUAUGAAGCGGAGAUUGAGGAGAUAGAUGAAGAAAACGGCACUGCUGCAAUCACUUUUGCUGGCUAUGGCAAUGCUGAAGUGACUCCACUGUUGAACCUCAAGCCUGUAGAAGAAGGAAGGAAGGCAAAGGAGGACAGUGGCAACAAACCCAUGUCAAAAAAAGAAAUGAUUGCCCAGCAGCGUGAAUAUAAAAAGAAGAAAGCUUUGAAAAAAGCACAGAGAAUAAAAGAACUUGAACAAGAAAGAGAGGACCAGAAGGUGAAAUGGCAGCAGUUCAACAACAGAGCCUAUUCUAAAAACAAAAAAGGCCAGGUAAAGAGGAGUAUUUUUGCUUCACCUGAGAGUGUAACUGGCAAAGUUGGAGUAGGAACUUGUGGAAUUGCUGAUAAACCUAUGACACAGUAUCAAGAUACCUCUAAAUACAAUGUUAGGCAUUUGAUGCCUCAAUAAUCAGAAAAACUGUUGGAUUUCAUCUCUGCAGGGCUUUACAUUUACCUUUUUAUCCUUAUAUUUUUCUAAAGGAUUUUUGAGUUGCAAGUUAAACUGAAGUUUUACUGCAGUGGAGAGGAAAAGCAUAGCAGGUAAAAUAACAGCCCUGUACUCACUUUAGCAAGAUGCAGUGAAUUUAUGACCAAAGAAACAGAAUUCAGGCUUGGAGGAAACACUUGACUCUACAUCCUGGGAAAACUAGAGUUGAAGCCUGAGAUCAGUAGCUAGGCUGGUCUUUAAUAGAUGGCUAUUUAGUGUUUCCCAGUAUCACAGAACACUCAUCCAACCUACAUUUGGGAAACAAAAUCAAGACACCCUAUCCAACAGAGCAUGCUGAACUCAAUUAAAACAAAAUAAAAUGAGAGACUGUUGCAGCCAAAUGGACUAGAGAUGUUACUAAGAAAGUCCCUGUAACUCUGGGAAAGAGAGCUGCCAGAGAAGAACAAGAAUGGUACUUGAAUCCUCAAAAUCUUGUGAGCUCUAGUUCACCUCUGGGAUCUUUUAUUGUGGUGUGAGGCCUGAUGUAGUGGGAGCUACAGAUGAGCAGAUCAGUAAGAUUCAAACAAUUUCUUUUCUGGUUGUUUUUUGUCCUUUAAUUCUGCCAAAGACAAAUGUUCUGGGGCAGAUGUAAAGAGAAAUGAAGGGCACGGUACUUUAAAAUAUAGACAUAAAAAUUAACAUCACCAGUGAUAAAACAUAUAAACAUAAUGUAUCUUCCUGAUACAAUGAAUUGAGAAGGGCACAACAUCACUUCUGUGAUAUUUCUUCCCCCAAAUGUAUAAUACCUCAAUCUAAUGAAAAAACAUCAGACAAACCCAAAUUGAGGAACACUGCAUAAAAUGACCAAUAUUCUGCAUAUGUGUCAUGGUCAUGAAAGAAAGACUGAAGAAAUAUCUAAUGCAAUGUAGGAUACUGCACUGGAUCCUGGAUCAGACAAAGGACAUUAUUGGGGAAAGUGGUGAAAUUUGAAUAAGGUUUAUAGAUUAAUUAAUAGUAUUGCAUGAAUGUUAAUUUCCUCGUUUCAAUAACUGUAUUAUGGUUACGUAAGAUAUUAACAUUAGGGGAACCUGGGUGAAGGGUAUACGAGAACUCAACAAUUUUCUACAGAAAACUUACAACUUUAAAAUUGUUUCAAAGUGGAAAAUUUUCAAUAUACAUAUAAUCAAGAAAAAAAAUUCUAUAAUUCAUACAGGCAUUGCUAGACAAUGUUGUGACUACAUAAAAUCUAGAAUGCUACAUUCAGUGCUGGCAAAAAAGGAAGCAAAUACAAUGCCACCCAACCUCCCCUCUCUAAAUUCAGAUACAGGGAUGCUAGUGUUUCAUUA
Molecule: RNA transcript, 2280 nt
Organism: Physeter macrocephalus (sperm whale)
Lineage: Eukaryota; Metazoa; Chordata; Mammalia; Artiodactyla; Physeteridae
Gene: SMNDC1
Gene name: survival motor neuron domain containing 1
Exons: 10
Source: RefSeq, a predicted model, not a curated record